Molecule: ribosomal RNA, 253 nt
Filed under: uncultured bacterium
Lineage: Bacteria
Description: partial 16S ribosomal RNA
Rfam family: Bacterial small subunit ribosomal RNA
Source: RNAcentral
UACAGAGGUGGCAAGCGUUGUUCGGAAUUACUGGGCGUAAAGGGAGCGCAGGCGGCCAGGUCAGUCUGAAGUGCAAGCCCGGGGCUCAACCCCGGAAUUGCUUUGGAUACUACUUGGCUUGAGUACGUCAGAGGUGAGCGGAAUUCCAGGUGUAGCGGUGAAAUGCGUAGAUAUCUGGAGGAACAUCGGUGGCGAAAGCGGCUCACUGGGACGAAACUGACGCUGAGGCUCGAAAGCGUGGGGAGCGAACGGG